CCUACGGGAGGCAGCAGUGGGGAAUAUUGCGCAAUGGGCGAAAGCCUGACGCAGCAACGCCGCGUGCGGGAUGAAGGCCUUCGGGUUGUAAACCGCUUUCAGCAGGGACGAAACUGACGGUACCUGCAGAAGAAGCCCCGGCUAACUACGUGCCAGCAGCCGCGGUAAUACGUAGGGGGCUAGCGUUAUCCGGAUUCAUUGGGCGUAAAGCGCGCGUAGGCGGGCUGUUAAGUCAGAUGUGAAAACCGGGGGCUCAACCCGCGGCCUGCAUCUGAAACUGGCAGCCUCGAGUCUGGUAGAGGAAAGUGAAAUUCCCAGUGUAGCGGUGAAAUGCGCAGAGAUCGGGAGGAACACCCGUGGCGUAGGCGGCGCCCGG
This 376-nucleotide ribosomal RNA is filed under the name uncultured Actinomycetes bacterium. Its description in RNAcentral is "uncultured actinobacterium partial 16S ribosomal RNA". It matches the Rfam family "Bacterial small subunit ribosomal RNA", at positions 338 to 732 of the family's 1533-position model. Lineage: Bacteria; Bacillati; Actinomycetota; Actinomycetes. The record is from RNAcentral.